UACGGAGGGUGCAAGCGUUACUCGGAAUUACUGGGCGUAAAGCGUGCGUAGGCGGUUGUUUAAGUCGGUUGUGAAAGCCCUGGGCUCAACCUGGGAACUGCAGUGGAAACUGGACAACUAGAGUGUGGUAGAGGGUAGCGGAAUUCCCGGUGUAGCAGUGAAAUGCGUAGAGAUCGGGAGGAACACCCAUGGCGAAGGCAGCUACCUGGACCAACACUGACGCUGAGGCACGAAAGCGUGGGGAGCAAACAGG
Molecule: ribosomal RNA, 253 nt
Filed under: uncultured bacterium
Lineage: Bacteria
Description: partial 16S ribosomal RNA
Rfam family: Bacterial small subunit ribosomal RNA
Source: RNAcentral